RNAcentral lists this ribosomal RNA (484 nucleotides) under uncultured bacterium. RNAcentral's name for it is "partial 16S ribosomal RNA". It matches the Rfam family "Bacterial small subunit ribosomal RNA", at positions 30 to 507 of the family's 1533-position model. The record is from RNAcentral.
AUUGAACGCUGGCGGAAUGCUUUACACAUGCAAGUCGAACGGCAGCACGGGGGCAACCCUGGUGGCGAGUGGCGAACGGGUGAGUAAUACAUCGGAACGUGCCCGGUCGUGGGGGAUAACGUAGCGAAAGUUACGCUAAUACCGCAUACGAUCUGAGGAUGAAAACGGGGGACCUUCGGGCCUCGCGCGAUCGGAGCGGCCGAUGUCAGAUUAGGUAGUUGGUGGGGUAAAGGCCUACCAAGCCGACGAUCUGUAGCUGGUCUGAGAGGACGACCAGCCACACUGGGACUGAGACACGGCCCAGACUCCUACGGGAGGCAGCAGUGGGGAAUUUUGGACAAUGGGCGCAAGCCUGAUCCAGCCAUGCCGCGUGCAGGACGAAGGCCUUCGGGUUGUAAACUGCUUUUGUAUGGAACGAAAAGGCUCUGGCUAAUACCUGGGGCUCAUGACGGUACCGUAAGAAUAAGCACCGGCUAACUACGUG